RNAcentral lists this transfer RNA (74 nucleotides) under Scopelengys tristis (Pacific blackchin). RNAcentral describes it as "tRNA-Trp". It matches the Rfam family "tRNA". Rfam says of the family: Transfer RNA (tRNA) molecules are approximately 80 nucleotides in length. Their secondary structure includes four short double-helical elements and three loops (D, anti-codon, and T loops). The record is from RNAcentral. Lineage: Eukaryota; Metazoa; Chordata; Actinopteri; Myctophiformes; Neoscopelidae.
AAGGGCUUAGGAUAGCAUGCAUAGACCAAGGGCCUUCAAAGCCCCAAGCGGGAGUGAGAAUCUCCCAGCCCUUG